This 492-nucleotide ribosomal RNA is filed under the name uncultured bacterium. Its description in RNAcentral is "partial 16S ribosomal RNA". It matches the Rfam family "Bacterial small subunit ribosomal RNA", at positions 29 to 507 of the family's 1533-position model. The record is from RNAcentral.
AGUGAACGCUGGCGGUAGGCCUAACACAUGCAAGUCGAACGGCAGCACAGUAAGAGCUUGCUCUUACGGGUGGCGAGUGGCGGACGGGUGAGGAAUACAUCGGAAUCUACUUUUUCGUGGGGGAUAACGUAGGGAAACUCACGCUAAUACCGCAUACGACCUACGGGUGAAAGCAGGGGAUCUUCGGACCUUGCGCGAUUGAAUGAGCCGAUGUCGGAUUAGCUAGUUGGCGGGGUAAAGGCCCACCAAGGCGACGAUCCGUAGCUGGUCUGAGAGGAUGAUCAGCCACACUGGAACUGAGACACGGUCCAGACUCCUACGGGAGGCAGCAGUGGGGAAUAUUGGACAAUGGGCGCAAGCCUGAUCCAGCCAUACCGCGUGGGUGAAGAAGGCCUUCGGGUUGUAAAGCCCUUUUGUUGGGAAAGAAAAGCAGCAGGUUAAUACCCCGCUGUUCUGACGGUACCCAAAGAAUAAGCACCGGCCAACUUCGUG